RNAcentral lists this ribosomal RNA (497 nucleotides) under uncultured bacterium. Its description in RNAcentral is "partial 16S ribosomal RNA". It matches the Rfam family "Bacterial small subunit ribosomal RNA", at positions 28 to 507 of the family's 1533-position model. The record is from RNAcentral.
GAUGAACGCUGGCGGCGUGCCUAAUACAUGCAAGUCGAGCGAACAGACGAGGAGCUUGCUCCUCUGACGUUAGCGGCGGACGGGUGAGUAACACGUGGAUAACCUACCUAUAAGACUGGGAUAACUUCGGGAAACCGGAGCUACUACCGGAUAAUAUAUUGAACCGCGUGGUUCAAUAGUGAAAGCCGGUUUUGCUGUCACUUAUAGAUGGAUUCGCGCCGCAUUAGCUAGUUGGUAAGGUAACAGCUUACCAAGGCAACGAUGCGUAGCCGACCUGAGGGGGUGAUCGGCCACACUGGAACUGAGACACGGUCCAGACUCCUACGGGAGGCAGCAGUAGGGAAUCUUCCGCAAUGGGCGAAAGCCUGACGGAGCAACGCCGCGUGAGUGAUGAAGGUCUUCGGAUCGUAAAACUCUGUUAUUAGGGAAGAACAAAUGUGUAAGUAACUAUGCACGUCUUGACGGUACCUAAUCAGAAAGCCACGGCUAACUACGUG